This 110-nucleotide ribosomal RNA is filed under the name Chinchilla lanigera (long-tailed chinchilla). Lineage: Eukaryota; Metazoa; Chordata; Mammalia; Rodentia; Chinchillidae. The record is from RNAcentral.
AUCGAGGCGCAUACCAUCCCAAACAUACCCAACCUCAUCUGAUCUCAGAAGCUAAUCAGGGUUGGGACUAGUUAGUACCUGGAUGACAGAAACAAUACUUUUCUUCCAGU